GACGAACGCUGGCGGCGUGCUUAACACAUGCAAGUCGAACGGAAAGGCCUGCUUUCCCUUGUGGAUUGCGGGUACUCGAGUGGCGAACGGGUGAGUAACACGUGAGUGAUCUGCCCCCAACUUGGGUAUAAGCCUGGGAAACUGGGUCUAAUUCCCGAUAGGACUGCAGGGUGGUGCCUGUGGUGGAAAACGAUUUUCUAGUGGUUGGGGAUGAGCUCGCGGCCUAUCAGCUUGUUGGUGGGGUAAUGGCCUACCAAGGCGGCGACGGGUAGCCGGCCUGGGAGGGUGGACGGCCACAUUGGGACUGAGAUACGGCCCAGACUCCUACGGGAGGCAGCAGUGGGGAAUAUUGGACCAUGGGCGGAAGCCUGAUGCAGCGACGCCGCGUGGGGGAUGUCGGCCUUCGGGUUGUAAACUCCUUUCGACCGCGAGGAAGCCACCUGGUUGGAAGGGUGGUGACGGUAGUGGUAGAAGAAGCACCGGCUAACUACGUG
RNAcentral lists this ribosomal RNA (494 nucleotides) under uncultured bacterium. RNAcentral describes it as "partial 16S ribosomal RNA". It matches the Rfam family "Bacterial small subunit ribosomal RNA", at positions 28 to 507 of the family's 1533-position model. The record is from RNAcentral.